GGUUUCCAGAUCUCUUAAGAGUUUUAGAAGCGGAUGGAAACGAUAAAGUGAAGAUCGAGUGCUCCGGCGAGGCGCGCUGUCGUGCAGCGGGUAUUUCAUAGCUCGGAUGGUUCCCAUGGCUGUGCCAGUGAAAAUCAUUCUCCCCGAGUGAGACAUCACUAUAGUGGUGUACGGAACAUCAUCAGAGUGAACUUCACGCAGGAUCUGAAACCGCAAGGAAGGAAGAAGAGGUUUAAUUUGUUUCCAGAUGCGUACGGAUCGGUCCAGCGAGCAGGUGGCGAUCAGCGGUUUGCGGAUACAGAUGUCCAGGCCAGUGAUAAUGCCGUA
Acipenser ruthenus (sterlet) is the source of this 327-nucleotide long non-coding RNA. RefSeq lists it as uncharacterized. The transcript is spliced from 3 exons. The record is from RefSeq and is a predicted model, not a curated record. NCBI's taxonomy places the organism in Eukaryota, Metazoa, Chordata, Actinopteri, Acipenseriformes, Acipenseridae.